Molecule: ribosomal RNA, 505 nt
Filed under: uncultured bacterium
Lineage: Bacteria
Description: bacterial SSU rRNA
Rfam family: Bacterial small subunit ribosomal RNA
Source: RNAcentral
UGGGGAAUAUUGGACAAUGGGGGCAACCCUGAUCCAGCAAUGCCGCGUGAGUGAUGAAGGCCUUAGGGUUGUAAAGCUCUUUUGCCAGGGACGAUGAUGACGGUACCUGGAGAAUAAGCCCCGGCUAACUUCGUGCCAGCAGCCGCGGUAAUACGAAGGGGGCUAGCGUUGUUCGGAAUUACUGGGCGUAAAGGGCGCGUAGGCGGUCUGAUAAGUUAGAUGUGAAAUUCCCGGGCUUAACCUGGGGCUGCAUUUGAUACUGUCAGGCUUGAAUCCAGGAGAGGAUAGUGGAAUUCCCAGUGUAGAGGUGAAAUUCGUAGAUAUUGGGAAGAACACCAGUGGCGAAGGCGGCUAUCUGGACUGGCAUUGACGCUGAGGCGCGAAAGCGUGGGGAGCAAACAGGAUUAGAUACCCUGGUAGUCCACGCCGUAAACGAUGAGUGCUAGACGCUGGUAGGUUUACCUAUCGGUGUCGCAGCUAACGCAUUAAGCACUCCGCCUGGGGA